Molecule: long non-coding RNA, 5910 nt
Organism: Monodelphis domestica (gray short-tailed opossum)
Lineage: Eukaryota; Metazoa; Chordata; Mammalia; Didelphimorphia; Didelphidae
Source: RefSeq, a predicted model, not a curated record
GCAGGUGGUUCCCUAACCUAAAGUUCAUCACUAACGAUUUUGUCUCUUCAAAGUGCUUGACUCCCAGGGAGCCUGACCCUCCAUUCUCCAUCUCCCACCUCUGCACCUUUGCCUACGAUGCUGUCUCCCUCACAAUUGCCUGGCUCCUCUUCUAGACUGGACUCGGGGCUCACCUUCUGCAAGAGGUCUUCCCUGUUCACUCCUCCUCUGAGAUGGCCUUCUACCUACUUUGUAUCUAACUUCUGUUCCCAGUUCUCUACAUAAUUUUCUCCCAUUAAAUACAAUGCACAUUUAUUAAGCACCUACUGUGCUUAAGGCCCUAGAAUGAAUGGUAACUCCUUGAGGGCAGGGAUUUGGGGGAGGUGGCGUGCUGUGGACAGAAUACUGGCUCCCUACACAGGGAGACCUGUGUUCAAAUCUGGUCUCUGAAACUUACUAGCUGUGUGUGACCCUGGGCAAGUCACUUAACCUGAGUUUGCCUCAGUUUCCUCAUCUGUAAACUGGGGAGAAUACUAGCCCCUACUGAAUUCCCAGGGUGGUUGUAAAGAUCAAAUGAGAUAAUAAUUGUAAUGCUGCUUAGCCCCAGUGCCUGGUGCACAGUAAAAGCUAUAUAAAUGUUAAUUAUUAUUAAAUAGGCAAAUGUUUAUUGACUUUGAAGCUGGCAAACUCUCCCUGAUGGGGGGUAGGGGGGCACUUCAGGAAGGGAAAAACCAGUGGCCAGCCCUGUAGAGAGAGCAAAAACCAGGCAGUGGCUACUGGAUUGGGGGCCAGAGAAUUCAUGAUACAAUUUUAUGUUUGUCUCAAGCGUCCAAUGAGCUCGACUGGUGACUAUUAUUAGCCCAGGUUACAGAUGAGUAAACUGAGGUCAAAGAGGGGAAGUUUGUACCAGAGCAGCUCUAAGAUCUCCCUCCCAGAGGGAAUGUUCUCUGUUCUAGCCCGUUCCUGACAUAGGAAGCUCUGUGGGAGUCAGCCUCGAGGUCCUGGGAAUGGUGGAGAAGACGAGGCUAUGAAGUCAAGAAAAAACGGAGUCCGAAUCCCAUACUUAAUAUCCAUUUAAUACUUAAUUUAAUUUUUGUAUUUUGUAUUUAUUUUUAUCCAUUUAUUUAUUGAUUAUCGAUGACUUUCACAGCCUUGGGCUGGGGAUGCCAAUAGAAAGAACAGCAGUCUCUGCCCUUGGGAGCUUACCUUCGAAUGGGGAAGCCGGCACCCGCUUUACUAGCAGCAUUUCGUCUCAGUGGGCUCAAAGGCACAGAGAACAACGCUAGGUCUGGAGUCAGACUUUUUUUAAAAGGUGAUCAGGGUGAAGUGACUUGCCCAGGGUCAUACUGCUAGUAAGUGGUAGAGCCUAGAUUUGAACCUAGGAAGAUGAGUCUUGAUGGUGAAAUGAAUAGAGUACCAGGCUUAGAGACAGGGAUAUCCUGGGUUUCAGUUUGACCUCAGGAACUUCCCAGCUGUGUGACCCUGGGCAAGUCACUUAACCCGACGCUGGCCAGCCUGUCCUGCUCUUCUGCCUUGAAAUCAGUUCACAACACUGACUCUAAGAGGGAAGGGAGGUUCUGUAAAGCCUAACUAAACACACAGCCAGUGUCCCAGAUCCUCCUGCCGCCCGGCCCGGCCCUGCCCCGAAGAACCCAUCUGGCCAAAGGAACUUGGCCAGCUGUGCCCUGUGCCUACAGGCUCCGAGAGAAUCCCCAUUGCAGGAUGCCGACUUCAGGAGCCGUGCAAAUGCCAUGGGGACGUCCACCGUGGCCCAGUGACUCGUGGGAAGCCAUCCAGGGCUCUCCCCAAGCUGCAGACGAGACAGAAAUCGGGCUGAAGGUCUGGGGGCACAUCUGGCAGAGGGACACAGCCCCGAUUCCCUACGCAGCGCCAGUGCCUGGCCCUGGGGACCCCCAGGCGGAAAGGAAAGGGGGCUCUGUCUGUCUCCUGGAGGGAGCCCAAACAAGGGGGAAACGAGGCAUCCUUAGCAGGGAGAAUGUGGGUAGUGGGGUGGAGGAAGUGGACCCUGAGCCCAGUCUGGAAGGAAGACAGGCUUCUGGGAAGCCGAGGGUUUAGUAGGAGAGCCAAGAGGCAGGAGGAAGUGCCAGGGCAGGUGUGGCCUGCAGACGGCUCAAAUGGCAGCUUUGGGGAGGGGAGAGAAGGCGGCUCCUGCAGUAGAGUCUGUCCAGGCAGGUGGUGAUGGACACCUGAGGUAGGGUGGGGCUGCCUGAGCCUAGGGGAGGGAGAGAUGGCCACUGAUGACACACAAGGGGGAGGGAGGGGAAGGGACCAGGAGCAUGAGGUUUGAGGUUCAGGGACUGGAAGAAAGGGGAUGCCCUUGACUGAAAUAAGGGAGUUUAGGAAGAGGAGAUGGGUGGAUGAGUUUAAGACGUCUAUGUCCAGGGGCAGCUAGGGAGCUCAGAGGAUAGAGCGUAAGGCCUAAAAACAGAAGGCCCUGGGUUCAAAUGUGGCCUCAAGUGUUUCCUAGCUGUGAGAUCCUGGGCAAGUCAUUUAACCCUGUUGGCCUCAGUUUCCCCACCUGUAAAAUGAGCUGGAGAAGGAAAUGGCAAACUAGCUGGGUGACCCUGGACAAGUCACUUAACCCUGUUGGCUUCAGUUUCCCCAUCUGCAAAGAAGGUCCUAAAAUUCAUACUUUAACCCAGAAAAAUACAAUAGGGGUGGGGAGGGGGUAGAGUUGGUCAACUAGGUAGCUCAGUGGGUUGAAGAAAAAAGGAAUGAAAAAGUGAAAAGCUAGGCAGCUGAGUCCAUUGAGAGCCAGGCCUGGAGUCAGGAGGACCUGGGUUCAAAUCUAACCUCAGAUACUUCCUAGUAGUGUGACCCUGGGUGAGUCACUUAACCCCUGUUGCCUAGCUCUCACUGCUAACACACUCAACCCAACAUAGGAGUCUGAGAAAAAGUAAUGGGACAAUCUCUCCAGCCCACUGAGAAGAAAGUAUCUAGGAGGUGGGAGUGGGUAACAGUAGCAAAAAUCUCUUCAGGAGCCUUUUCUCCAUCCUAGGCUUUCUGGUCUUCUCUAGAAAGAUGAAGAAAAGACCAGAAAAGGCGCGACUAAAAGCCCAUUGCUUACCCUCAAGACUGAUUUCAGUUGGGUGAUGAGGUCAAAAGCCAGACUGUGUGUGAGUGAGAAGACUGAAGUCCAUGAGUCAAGAGCCUUUCCCCCCUUAAGUAAAUCCAUAGAGAAUCCAUACUCAAUAUCAGUUCCAAGAUAGAAGAAAAGCAAGGGCUAGGCAACGGGGGUGAAGUGACUUGCCCAGGGUCACCCCGCUGGGAAGUGUCUGAGGCUAGAUUUGAACCCAGGAGCUCCUGUCUCCACGUCUGGCUCUCUAUCCACUGAGCCACUUAUUCACUUAUCAUAGCCCCCUGUCCCCAGAGUCCUCGGCACUGCGCAGACCCAGGCUGAGUUAUCUAAAGCAGCCCCUGUGAGCAGCAGCCAGCAUCUCCAGGGGCCGCGUCACUUCCCCAUCAGUUUCUCCAAAAGCAUCUUCAAACGGCCAGAGCAGGAAGCUUUGGCGAGCCCUGCAGCCCCAGCCCAGGGCAGACAUCAGAUCUGACGUCACUGCCACCACCUAGGAUCGCAGUCCCUGGGGCGAAAUACCCAGACUCCUCGGCACCACAGGUUUGAAGCCGGGCAGAACUGACUCAACCUUUCCUGUCUCCAAGAUAAAUAUGUGCUUGGGAGGGAAGCAGCGUGCCAUGUGGAGACCAGGCUUCUUUCUCUGCUCCGCCGUGCCUCUGGCCUCUUCCCAGGAACACAGGUCCUCAGCCAGGAGAGGCAGGGUGCCAGGGGGCCGCACUCUGCCUGACGUGCCCCGAUCGGUGCCAGUUCAAUGGGGCACUUACUGAUUGAGUCAGUUAUUUCUCUGUGGAUCAAAAGGUUCUUACCCGACAGUGCCAGCCUCAAAGCCUUGCCAUCUCUGGGACUUUGAACAGAACCAAUUUGUCAGACACUGGCUGGACGCAGCAUUUAGCACGAUGGCUGGCACAUAGUAGGUGCUUAAUAUUUCUUUCCUUCCUUCUCUCCCAGAUUUUGAAAACGACUAAAACACCAACUAGAGCUAGAGCCCACGUACUGCUACCUGCAACCUUCCAUCCUCUCCCACCUCCGGUCGAGCCUUUGCAGGAGAUACACCCCCUCCUCGACUACGGCUCCUGGACCCCCAGCUUCCUGCCAGGCUCAGCUCAGGUUCCUCCAUCUACAAGAGGGCUUUCCUGAUCUUAGCAGGGAGGGUUCGUUGUCCUCCUACUCACAUCCUUCCCUUGUACAGCCUUGGAUUUCUUUAUCCAUCCAUGUUGUUCCCCCAAUAAAAUAAAAGAUCCGUGCAGGCAGGGGCUGGUUCCUUUUUAUCUCUGCAUCCCUGGCCCCAAAGAGAUGCUUAACCAAUACGGAUCGAAUGAAAUGAAUGAACUUGAGGCUUUGAAGAAACGAAAUGGGAUGACUUGUGCCGAGGCCAGCUGCAAACAAAACUGAGAACCCAACUUUCCUGGCUCUGGGGGGCCACAAUAUCCCCCUCCCAUGGAGGAAGGAGGAGCUGCAGAGAUCAUGCAUCCAACCUCUCCCGUUUUUACAGAUGGGGAAACCGAGUAAAGCGAUUGGCCCAGAAUCACACCGCUGGAGAGGGGAGGUAGUUGGGGAAGUACAGCAGAAGAGUAAUGAGCCUUCCUAACCCACUGGGAGAAGGAUUACACCACUACUGGAAUACAGGAUUCUGUAAAUCUGGACAGUCUUGGCACAACAAGGUAAAAGUGGGUACCACACUGUCAUCAUCUUUCUGGUCAAAUAAAAUCAAUAAAGUCAAUAAAGUGAAAAGGGAGAGGGCAGCCAAGUGGCACAGUAGAUAGAUGGAGUCAAGAAGACCCUGGACAAGUCACUUAACCCCAUUUGCCUAGCCCUUGUGUCUAGUUGUUACUAAAGCAGAAAGCAAAGAUUUUUUUUAAGUGGGAAGAGUAUAAGCAUCUCUAGAGUCUAUCAUGUGCCAGAUACUGUGCUAAGCAAUUUUUACAAAUAUUAUUUGAUCCUCACAACAACCCUGAGAGGUAGAUACUGUUAGUAUCCCCAUUUUACAGUUGAGAAAAGUGAGGCAGAGGUUAAGUGACUUGCCUGACGUCACACAGCUGGUAAAUAACCAAAGUCAGAUUUAGAUUCUGGUCUAUGCACUGUGGUGCAACCCCUGGCUGCCUCUAAGAGCACAGUUGUACUCACAUCCUCAUCCCCUAAUGUACACAAUGUCAUUCAGAUCAAGGUAAAAUAAACAUAAUAAAAUACCUCACCUCAAGCAGGAAGAAAGAUGACAUAAUGAAAAGAGAGCUGGCUAGCUCAGAGAUUAUACUUCCACUCUUCCAGGAUUAGGUGCCAAGAAGGAUAUUGAAUAUAGCAAGAAAAGACCCACAUGUGUGAGGACAACUGUAGUAGCAUUGUUUGUGCUUUUAUCAUCCCUCUUUUACAGUUUAGGAAACUGAGGCAGACAGAGGUUAACCAACUUUCCCAAGGUCACACAGCUAGUAGUGUCCCAGGCUGUAUUUGAACUCAGAUCUUCCUGAUUCCAAGCUGCCUCUACUAAAGGACAAGGCUUUCUGUUAAUUGACAAACUGUUUCCAAUGCAAUACAAUAGAGACUACAGCAUUAGCACCCAAGUAUGGUAGUUCCAUGGCUAUUAAUGGAGAAAAGUUUAUGUGACAAAAAUCUUUCCACAUAUCCAUUUUCAUUUUUAAAAUCUCUCUCUCUCUCUCUCUCUCUCUCUCUCUCUCUCUCUCUCUCUCUCCUCUACUUGAUAAAGAAAUCAAUCAUUUAUUUAAAUUGAUGGAAUUUCCCUUUUACUCUGUUUACCCACUUAUAGCUAUUCUUUGAGUUAGUCUUGUUUGUGAUAUUUUUUUAAAAUUUAUUUUGGUAGGUGGAAUAAAUGAGUAUAUAAA